Molecule: long non-coding RNA, 368 nt
Filed under: Setaria viridis
Lineage: Eukaryota; Viridiplantae; Streptophyta; Magnoliopsida; Poales; Poaceae
Description: long non-coding RNA (SVIR_LNC000797)
Source: RNAcentral
GGCUGAUCACCAUCACAAUCACAUACUUAAAAACAGCUCAUUUUCAACUUCUAUAUUGUUCACCAACAACAAUAAUUCAACGUACAACAAGUUAAGAAUCAACAAUGCAACAUAUAACAAAAGUUCAUCAGCAACAAACAACAAGUUCACCAGCAACACACUUCAGUUGAGGGAAGGAUUCACCUUGCUCUGACUGGUGCUGAAGUUUAUCAGGCUAGAAAUCAGAAAAUGCAACUGCUUUAUGGUGUUCCUCAAAGCUUUGAGCUCUUAUGUCUGAGACUUCAAUGUUGUUUCUUGUGUUUCAACCCUCAAUCUCAGUGCACCCAUCUCAGACUCUUGUUCAGCAAUCUUUUGUCGAAGUUGUGGCC